AGGAUCAUUAUCGUACAACGGGGGUGCGAGGGCUGUCGCUGACCAUUCAAAGGUCGUGCACGCCCGAGUGCUCUCACAAUCCAUCUCACCCUUUGUGCAUCACCGCGUGGGUCCCCCUUUACGGGAGGGCUCGCGUUUUCACAUAAAACUCGAUACAGUGUAGAAUGUUUACUUUUGCGGUCACACGCAAUCAAUACAACUUUCAACAACGGAUCUCUUGGCUCUCGCAUCGAUGAAGAACGCAGCGAAAUGCGAUACGUAAUGUGAAUUGCAGAAUUCAGUGAAUCAUCGAAUCUUUGAACGCACCUUGCGCCCCUUGGCAUUCCGAGGGGCACACCCGUUUGAGUGUCGUGAAAUCCUCAAAACCCUCUUCUUUCGGGAAAAGGAUUUUUGGACUUGGAGGUUUAAUGCUCGCUUUUGCCUUUGAAAGUGAGCUCCUCUCAAAUGAAUCAGUGGGGUCUGCUUUGCUGGUCCUUGACGUGAUAAGAUGUUUCUACGUUUUGGAUCUAGCAUCGUCCUUUGGAUGCCCCUGCUCCUAAUCGUCUCACAGACAAUGAUGGUGCUCCGGUCACUGCCGUCUACAUUGGCGGGGGGAGGCUGGACCCACAAAAAAAAUCUUGACCUCAAAUCGGGUGAGACUACCCGCUGAACUUAAGCAUAUCAAUAAGCGGAGGAAAAGAAACUAACAAGGAUUCCCCUAGUAACUGCGAGUGAAGCGGGAAAAGCUCAAAUUUAAAAUCUGGUGGUCUU
This 750-nucleotide ribosomal RNA is filed under the name Russula sp. MHM090. RNAcentral's name for it is "eukaryotic LSU rRNA". The stretch from base 198 to 351 matches the Rfam family "5.8S ribosomal RNA". The record is from RNAcentral. Lineage: Eukaryota; Fungi; Basidiomycota; Agaricomycetes; Russulales; Russulaceae.